Molecule: long non-coding RNA, 1310 nt
Filed under: Felis catus (domestic cat)
Lineage: Eukaryota; Metazoa; Chordata; Mammalia; Carnivora; Felidae
Description: lncRNA (ENSFCAG00000053215.1)
Source: RNAcentral
UUUAUUUAUUUUUAAGAGUCAGAGAAAGACAGAGCGUGAGCAGGGGAGGGGCAGAGAGAGAAGGAGACACAGAAUCUGAAGCAGGCUCCAGGCUCUGAACUGUCAGCACAGAACCUGAUGCGAGGCUUGAACCCACGAACCCUGAGAUCAUGACCUGAGCCGAAGUCGGAUGCUUAACCGACUGAGCCACCCAGGUGCCCCUAAUCAUGUAUGCUUCUAAAUUCUGGCUUUGUUGCAUAGAAAAGUAUCUGAUACCACUUGUUAAAAUCUGACAGACUGAUUUUUUUGUUGUGACUAGAUUUCAAAGUGUUACUUCUUCUGGAUAUCUGGUUUUUAUGCCUUUUCUCUCUUAAAGUAGAAUGUAGUUCUUACUCCGUCAACAUAAUUUCAGAAAUUAGUAAGCAUUCCACAUUUAGUGCAGUUUAUCUUUACAUUUUCCAUUCAUACUACACAGCUUAACAGAUUUUGUGGAGGUCCUGCAACUAGAUGCUACUGUAACAAGCCAUGGUUCCCACUCUUAAAAGAACUCAUGCUUUUCUGCAGAAGAUGGAUAUGCAAAAGGGAUAGUCAGUCAGGCAGAAGUUUGUAGGAUGGCUUCCAGUUUCCUUCGGAAGUAGUUUGACCUACAUGGAGACCUUUGUAAUGACCAAGGAAAGAAAUAAGGGCCUGAUAUAUGUUAGUACUAAUGAUGAUGAUCUGGCAAAUUGAGGGUGUUUUAAGAAGGAAUUAACCUAAGAACCUACUGAGCUAAUGGGUGUGGGUGAAGGGGAGAAACUGAAUUAUUUAGGGAGAAAGAAGGAUGACGAUUCUGAUUUGGGGCUGAGAUUCCUGUAAAAUGCAUAGAUGGAAAUGUUGGCUUAUAGGUGUGGAAUUCAGUGGAGAAGUUUGGGCUAGACAUAUAAAUAUUGGGAGCUGUGACCAGGAAAGGUAGAAUUAUAAUAGAAGCGGACCAGGAGCAGAACUGUGAAGAUACCAACGCUCUUUGGGGAGAAAGAGGGCACAAGACCAUCGGAGACUGAGAAGAAGCGAGAGAGCCUGGAGUGGGGGGAGCACUAUCAUCAAAAUGUUCAAGGAGGAAGUGGUCCUCUGACUAACAGUACUAGAAACUCUGAAUAGCGUAUCCUUGGAAGGAAAAACACUACCAGUGCAUAUACCUACUCGCUUUUUUAGUCUCUCAUUUUAUUGCUUUGACUGCUCAUGCCUAACCUUGCACAUUGUUGUUAAACAAUAACUGACAAACAAUGUUAAUGAUGCCUGUAAAACCAGAGAACAUAGAGUUUUCUCACAAAUAAAAAAAGGCAUUUUCUUCA